Non-coding RNA from Saimiri boliviensis boliviensis (Bolivian squirrel monkey), 1090 nucleotides. The record is from RefSeq and is a predicted model, not a curated record. Lineage: Eukaryota; Metazoa; Chordata; Mammalia; Primates; Cebidae.
UCAGAAUUGGCUCAGGAGAGAGAUGAAGAGAAAAUGCACAUAGAUCAUUGGCUCAGAUAACAUACUCUGUUUCUAGAAGUCACAAAGAGUGGAAAUUGGAAUAUGUAAAUUAAAGAAAAACAGUCCUUAAGAUUCAAGUCCACAAUGGAAGAAGAACAUUCAUUUGGUGCAAGUUGGCGAUUGCAGAAGCCCAAGGAGUGAUGUCAACACUGGGGUUCACCUGAGAACAUGGACAUGGCUAGUGAGGGUUUAGGAGAUGCUCAUAGGCGGUCUUCAUAUGUGCCCUGGAUCCCAGCUCUGCCUUCCACCCAAGAGGAUGUGAUUCAGCCAAGAUGUCCCAGAGUCAGCUCUCUGCUCAUAUUUGUUCUGCACUGAAGUGAAUCAUCUGAGAAACCCAAGAGGUGUUUAAUGCAGUUUAGGAAACAGAGGGAUGAAAGCCAUAAAUUCCUUUUCAUGUAGCAGAGUAUAUACAUGAUACUCAUUCUGUGACAUUUGGGGCAUAAACAAGAGUAGAUGAAGGAAUGUUAAGAUACUCCAGAUAAUGACUUUUAUCUCUAUAAAAAUGGUAUAGGGACCACACACACUUGGUUGUGAUGACGUACUUUUCAGAUUCGCUACCGGCCUUUUACUGAUUUUUCUGUGCCACAGGCCUUAACUCCUGCAGUCUAAAUUUCUCAGUCCCUUCUGCUCACUAAUACGUGGGAAGGUUUGGCCAAAAGUGGGUGACUGGUGGUAAGAAGGAAGAGAGAAUUCAGGGGAUUGCUGAGCCCAUUCUCUACUCUCGAUAGUACAGCUGGCACUGGCUCUGUGUUCUCAGUUUCUAUCUCCCAUCAGACAAUUCUUACCUCUAUGGUCCUACUCCGACCUGGACACUUUCCAGCUGGAUUCCAGUUCUGGGGAUGUUCCCUCCUUCUGAGCUCUAAGUCCUUCCCAUUGGCUUCAACUCCCAGGCUCAGCUAGCACCACCUUUUCCCAUUGUCCCUACAGGGCUAGGGCUUCCAGUGGUAUUAAUGUCGGUGUUGUAUCAUCUUUCCUGAAUUUCAGUUCUCUGUCACCAGUUCCCCAAAUAAAAUUUCCCCCAUAUUCCUAC